AGUUGCACAACUGCCUGGCAUGUGACUGGAGGUACUUUGCAGUCAUUGCUGGGAUUUCACUGAUGUGACCCCAACGCUGCCUCCCUCUCCACCCCACGAUGUUGGAAGAAACUCAACAGAGUAAAUUGGCUGUGGCCAAGAAAAAGUCUCAACGGGAAGCCAGGCCGAUGAGAACAGCCACUUGUCAUCAGGCUCUCCCUUUAGAAGUCACUGAAAGGGCCCCAGGAUGUGGUGAGGAGGGCCCCAGGCACUAGAAUUAAGAGAAGAACUAACUUGCCACCAGAUUGCUCGGUGACCACAGAAAAAUCACUUCUUCCCCUGGGCCUCAGUUUUCUCCUCUUCCUCGAGCCGCUGUGAAGCAGUCCUCAAGCGGCAGUUAUGGCAGUCCAUAAAGGCUCGGGCACAGCUGGAAGCACACGUGACACAGAUGUUGGAACAAGUCCAGCUAGAGACAGAUGAAUAUACUCAACAUCUAAAAGGAGAGAGGGCCCGGUGGCAGCAGAGGGUAUGGAAAAUGUCAGAGGAGGUUUGCACAUGGAAGGAGGAGAAGAAGCAUGACAGGCAUCGGGUACAGGAGCUGGAGAGGACUGAACCCCUGCCCCUGGAGCCCCCAGCAGGGCCCUCUGAGGUGGAACAGCAGCUACAAGCUGAGGCCGAGCACCCGAGGAAGGAGCAGGAGAGUCUGGCAGGACAGCUCCAAGCUCAGGUGCAAAACAAUCAAGGCUUGAGUCACCUGAACUGGGAGCAGGAGGAGAGGCUGCUGGAACGGGAGACGCUGCGGGAGCAGGAGAGGCUGCAGGAGCUGGAGGAGAAGCUGCAGGAGUAGGAGAGGCUGGGAGAGCGGGAGGAGAGUCUGCGGGAGCGGGAGGAGAGUCUGCGGGAGCGGGAGGAGAGGCUACGGGAGUGGGAGGAGAGGCUGCGGAGCAGGAGGACAGGCUGCUCGAGCUGGGGCGGAAAGCCAAGCUCUGGGAGGAGCAGGCAGAGACGUGCAUGCAGGCCCUGCGGAACCACACCACCAUCAACCACGUGCUCUCUCAGAACCAUGAGCUCGACUAGCAGCUGGCUGGGCCACAGAGCGGCUUAGAGGAGCUGGUGGCGUUUUUCAACUCCGCUGGAGCCAGUGCCCAGGAGGAGCAGGUAUGGCUUAUGUGGGCAGCUGAGGGAGCAAAGGGUGUGGUGCCAGCGCCUGACUCACCCGGGUGGCCUUGGCCCAGAAGGAGCCAGAGGUAGUGGAACCAGCCCCAGGGACUGGGGAUGAGUCUGUGUGUGGGUAGACUCAUCAGGCCCUGCAGGGAUCCAUGGAGAAGUUGCAGAGUGGCUUUAUGGACCUCCUGAAGGAGAAGGUGGACCUGAAGGAGUGGGUGGAGAAACUAGAGCUUCGAUCCAUCCACCUCUCAGGACAGGCAGACACCAUCAGAAAGUAAAUCACAACAUACGAGGGCCAGAGGGCAGCGCCAAAGACGCGGCACCAGGAGGAGGAGGACAUCAUCAGGCUGGCCCAGGACAAAGAGGAGAUGAAGAUGGGGCAUUGCAGCACCUCUGUGGGGGUGGGGGUGGGGUGGGUGUGAGCGUGGGCAGGGGCACUGGCACCAGCGUGGCAGCUGAGCACCCCUCCCUUCAGGUGAAACUGCUGGAGCUGCAGGAGCUGGUGUUGCGGCUUGCAGGCGAUCACAACGAGGGGCAUGGCAAAUUCCUGGCCGCUGCCCAGAACCCUGCUGAUGAUCCUGCUCCAGGGGCCCCAGCCCCUCAGGAGCUUGGGGCUGCUGACAAGCAGGGUGAUUUUUGUGAGGUGAGCCGACAGCCUGGAGCCUGCACCAGGAGAGGCCAGGGAGGGUUGUCCCCAUGACAACCCCACUGCACAGCAGCUCAUGCAGCUUCUUCCUGUGAUGCGGGACCCCCAGGAGUACCCAGGCUUGGGCAGCAGUCCCUGCAUGCCAUUCUUUUACCAGGCUGCCAAGAACAGGGAGCUAAACAUCACCAUCAUCUAAGAGCUGGUCAAGAAAUUAAAAAAGAAGAAAAAAAAGUUAUGGGGUUAAUCUCCUACACAAUUCAUUUACUUCAUUUGAAUGUU
Molecule: long non-coding RNA, 2071 nt
Filed under: Homo sapiens (human)
Lineage: Eukaryota; Metazoa; Chordata; Mammalia; Primates; Hominidae
Description: non-protein coding lnc-MTPAP-6:2
Source: RNAcentral